AUUUUUGUAUUUUUAGUAGAGACGGGGUUUCACCGUGGUCUCGAUCUCCUGACCUUGUGAUCCGCCCGCCUCGGCCUCCCAAAGUGCUGGGAUUACAGGCGUGAGCCACCGCGCCCGGCCUUUGUCACAUUUUUAUGUCCAUUCACUUGUUUGUGACAUUUUGCCAAUUACCCCAGGAGUUGGCAACUGACUUCAUCUCACACAGAAAAGUUAAUUUGCCAUAAAAAACAAUUUGUCUCGAAAACUCAGUUUAUUUUAAAAUUAAGUUGAUCCUUCUUAAUUAUGGUCUUUCAAAGGAACUUCUGAACUUGACAUUUGAUGGGAGGCUGCAGACAGCAAACCAGGACUAACAACCUUUAGAAACUAACAACAUGACAGAAACAGCCCAAGGAGGUAAUUGAGAAAGGAAGGAUAUCAUAGGUCCCCACGGUUUCAUGAACCAAAGUGUUAUGAGAAUUUGCUGGCAGUCGUCUAGGAAAACUCUUCAACAGAGAUUUGAUUCAAGUCUUUAAUUCACUGUAAACAACCAGCUACAAUGUUCCUUUUAUUUUCCUAGGCUACAGACUGAACACCCAAGAGCUCUGAGUGCAUGGCAGUGACCCUUCUCUUCCCCUUUUGCACCUGGAAAAGAAUUGGGUCAAAACAGCACGCUACUGAGGAUUUUUCUGAGAUAGGGUUUCAGGUACUUUUUAUCCAUUUAGGAUUUUAGGUGAUAUGCAUGCAUCUAACUUUUGGGGAUGAUGGAAGCCUAGAAUGAUCUCUGGCCACAUGGCCCCUUCUCCCACUCCAUGGAACAAGACAUCUGGUAUCACAGGAGAGAAUGGGGCAAAGACCAGAGGGAAGCCGAGCUUUAAGUCCCUCAGAUCAUCCACUUCCUGGGCAUCCCAGUUACAAAAACCAGUAACUUCACACUUUUUCCUUAAACUGUUUUGAAAUGAGGUUCAGUUUCUUGCAAAUGAAAGUCUUUACAAAUAAAUUUGCUGUGGCCAGAAUGGUGUGUGAAUAUGGGGAGCAGUUUGCAGGGGUCAAAGGGCCCUUGUGGCUACACCAGGGGUCAGGUGAAUUGGGCUCCAGAUAACAGAUUUCACCAUGUGUUGAUGAAGCUUUACAGCUCACAGGCAAGGCUGGUCGGCUCUUUCCUGAGUGCUUGGUUACUGUAACAGUGAGACCACUCCAGAGGCAGAGGAAUAGUAAGUGCUGACUCAUCUGAACAGGGGGUUCAUCUUUCCCUGUCCAGUGUGUUGCCAACUCUGAAAUCUCUUUAAGAUGAAACAAGAGGCUUUAGGAUGCAGAUAAUGGCACGCCAAUUGCAACGCACAGCAGUAGUGAGCCAAGAAGGUAAGUUCCUGAAGCCGAUUGUUGUAGGAAACCUUAAGCCAUAUGGUGGGAGUGGU
Molecule: long non-coding RNA, 1394 nt
Filed under: Macaca fascicularis (crab-eating macaque)
Lineage: Eukaryota; Metazoa; Chordata; Mammalia; Primates; Cercopithecidae
Description: lncRNA (ENSMFAG00000053266.1)
Source: RNAcentral